This is a non-coding RNA of Streptomyces agglomeratus, 98 nucleotides long. The record is from Rfam. NCBI's taxonomy places the organism in Bacteria, Bacillati, Actinomycetota, Actinomycetes, Kitasatosporales, Streptomycetaceae.
GAGAGCGACGUGCGGUGAAAGUCGCAUGCGUCGUUCGGGCUGGGGGCCGUGGGAAAAGGACCUGCUCAGCAGGCACCUCGCCGACGGCCCACCAGUAC